This 625-nucleotide long non-coding RNA is filed under the name Homo sapiens (human). Its description in RNAcentral is "HSALNT0360518". Lineage: Eukaryota; Metazoa; Chordata; Mammalia; Primates; Hominidae. The record is from RNAcentral.
GGAGACCAAGAGGAAGACUGAUUAAAGACUGGCAGAGAGAGGAGCAGUGUGGGAGCAGCCCCUGCCCAAUGGGCUUUGGUGGCCUAGAGCCAUAAGAAGGUCCUCCCACCUCACCCUGCCACAAUAGUAACCUUUAGGAAAUUUAAGCUGCCCUGAACCCCAUGCCCCCAGCUUGUCACAUCCAAAAGGGUGUAAAUAUUCCCAACAUGGCCUAUUUCAACCUCCAAGAUGGCUUCAUUGACUGUGGAGUUGGGGAGACAUGUGCACAGUCAGCCCUCGUGAGCAGGUGUGAGCCACCUCCAGAACUCCACUGAUACGCCAGCAAUCAGGAUUUGCAGUACAGAUGAAGACUGUGGAACACUUAUUUUAAUGGGCUAGAAGACUUCCUGGCAUGUUUUGAGUAAAUUGUGCUACUGUCAUGCAGAACUGGAUUAAUGUCUGUCUUAUAAAUAAGACCCACCUGGUAUCACUCUGUUUGCAAAGUGUAGCAGCCAGUGUCACCGGUUAUAUCUCCGUCUGCUGUGUUAGGAAGCAUUCUUGUCCUGUUUUAUUUUUCCCUCAGAAGUAUAGAAAAAGGACCUCAUGCCAGGUGUGGUGGCUCAUGCCUGUAAUCCCAACACUUUGG